CAGCAGCCGCGGUAAUACGUAAGGACCGAGCGUUGUCCGGAAUCAUUGGGCGUAAAGGGUACGUAGGCGGUCUAGUAAGUUAGAAGUGAAAGGCAAUAGCUCAACUAUUGUAAGCUUUUAAAACUGCUAGACUUGAGAGAUUGAAGGGAAAGUGGAAUUCCAUGUGUAGCGGUGAAAUGCGUAGAGAUAUGGAGGAACACCAGUGGCGAAGGCGGCUUUCUGGCCUGUAACUGACGCUGAGGCGCGAAAGCGUGGGGAGCAAACAGGAUUAGAUACCCUGGUAGUCCACGCCGUAAACGAUGAGUGCUAGGUGUUAGGGGGUUUCCACCCCUUAGUGCUGCAGCUAACGCAUUAAGCACUCCGCCUGGGGAGUACGGUCGCAAGACUGAAACUCAAAGGAAUUGACGG
This 408-nucleotide ribosomal RNA is filed under the name uncultured bacterium. RNAcentral's name for it is "bacterial SSU rRNA". It matches the Rfam family "Bacterial small subunit ribosomal RNA", at positions 509 to 916 of the family's 1533-position model. The record is from RNAcentral.